AUUGAACGCUGGCGGCAUGCCUUACACAUGCAAGUCGAACGGUAACAGGUUAAGCUGACGAGUGGCGAACGGGUGAGUAAUGUAUCGGAACGUGCCCAGUCGUGGGGGAUAACUGCUCGAAAGAGCAGCUAAUACCGCAUACGACCUGAGGGUGAAAGCGGGCGAUCGCAAGACCUCGCUCGAUUGGAGCGGCCGAUAUCAGAUUAGGUAGGUGGUGAGGUAAAGGCUCACUAAGCCGACGAUCUGUAGCUGGUCUGAGAGGACGACCAGCCACACUGGGAGUGAGGCACGGCAGAGACUCCUACGGGAGGAAGCAGUGGAGAAUUUUGCGCAAUGGGCGCAAGCCUAAUCCAGGAAUGCCGCGGGCAGGCAGAAGGACUUAGGCUUGUAAACCGAUUUUGUCAGGAGAGAAAAGGUUCUGGCUAAUACCUGAGACUCAUGACGGUACCUGAAGAAUAAGCACCGGCUAACUACGUG
RNAcentral lists this ribosomal RNA (477 nucleotides) under uncultured bacterium. Its description in RNAcentral is "partial 16S ribosomal RNA". It matches the Rfam family "Bacterial small subunit ribosomal RNA", at positions 30 to 507 of the family's 1533-position model. The record is from RNAcentral.